GUAAAAAAAAGUGCCUAUAUUUGAACUAUGGCAGUCCAGAAGUAUAACUGCAAGUGUGCACAGCUAGGACAAUGGCAAUUGACAAUCAAAGGCUCAAUGAAUAUAGAAUGAUCAGCUGGAGUCCAUUAGAAAUCAAGGAAAAAUAUAGUCUGUAAUUAAUGUUGCUCAAAAUAAAACAUUCUGAAAUGUUUAUUUGGAACUUCAAAUCUAAAUUAUGAAUGAAUUUUGUGAACCUCAAGUUGGAGACCUGCCAGCUACACUGAAGUACAUCAAUGUGUAAACUCUUUUGCUGAGGCGUUUGCAAUAGUGUGAGGUGCAAUAGCAGCCUGUUUCUGUGACCAAUUAUUCCGAUGUUCGCACACCUGCAUAAAAUAAUGCUGGGAGUAUAGUUUUACAGCAUUAGUUGUUGAAGACUGUGUCCUACACUACAGAACAAAAGAUGUUAUUGUCAAUAAUCAGUCCUUUCAUGAAUAACCUGUAGGUAUCAAUUAAAACAUGACUUAAACUAAAUACCAUGGAAUUAUGAAUAUAACAGACCUUAGCAUGUUUGAAUUAUAGAAGUAUAUAUGAGUAGCGACAAUUUUACGGGCAAUUCUUCAGUGUUGCAAACACGCAAGAGUACAUUACUGAGGUAGUCUCUAGAACAGGGGUUCUCAACCUCUUUCACUGGCAUACCAAUAAUUCUAAUUGAACACUUUAAAUGUACCACUAACCAAAAGCAUUCAGGGAAAACUGUUAUUACAUUAAUAUUAACUUCUGAUUUUCUUACUUAGUUCGCAUACCACCAGUGGCAUGUGUAGCAUAGGUUGAGAAACGCUGCUCUAGAACAUAUUUUUUAAAAUUUGGUAGUAGGAUUUUGUUUCAAUUCAGAAGUCCAACUGAAUUCUACUGGUCUCUUCUCAACCUUUAAUUAUGUACAUAUCUUUACAUGAAACUAAUAUUGGUAUGCCUAAGAAAAUCAUGUUUAUAUUAAGAAAUAAAAAACUCAAAAGUGCCAUAUUCAACACAAAGCAAGUAUCAUGUUCACAUAACCAAGUCAACUUUGAUCUUACAGUUUGUAAAAUCUUUUUCCCUAUGGCACAGUUAUUAAUAAUAGGUAAUUCUUCAAAUGCUUAAAAAGCGUUCAGUAUUUACUAACUUCAUUUUAAAAAGGGCUUAAUAUUUACAAAAGUUAUCUGUUUCAUUUUAAUUUUUCUUGGAACAAUUUCGUACAGCAGUUGUUUACUCUAAAGGAAAUCAAGUAAAUAUUUCUAUAAUUUGAACCUCAAACAUCAACCUUAGAGGAAGAAUUCUUUCUCCCCCAUAAAACAAAUAUUAAAACUCUGAAACUGUUGAUUCUACUGAGCUUCCUUUGUUCCACAGAUAUAAAAUAUUAUAAAACAAAUCCUGCAUA
This is a long non-coding RNA of Zootermopsis nevadensis, 1393 nucleotides long. RefSeq lists it as uncharacterized. NCBI's taxonomy places the organism in Eukaryota, Metazoa, Arthropoda, Insecta, Blattodea, Termopsidae. The record is from RefSeq and is a predicted model, not a curated record.